Molecule: long non-coding RNA, 683 nt
Organism: Neocloeon triangulifer
Lineage: Eukaryota; Metazoa; Arthropoda; Insecta; Ephemeroptera; Baetidae
Exons: 3
Source: RefSeq, a predicted model, not a curated record
GCGUUGCCGGGCUGCCGGCUCGGCCCGCUGUCAAGUUUGUUGUUGUUUCCCCAGUCGGCCUUUAUUUCGAUUUGGAUGCAAAAAGUCGGCGUUGUGUCGGUCGAUGGGGUCGACCAGCGUGUUUUGCGUCGGCAGGCGAAUAAAUUCGAGGUUGCCUGAUGAUUUCUACACUUCGCGUAUGUCGGCGUCGGCACUUUCUGGCCAGUUCAAGAACUCCGAGAGGCAAAAAAUAUCACCCGAGAACCGAGAACAUAAUUAUUAUACAAGUGUGAUGCACUCCAACCCUUCCCCCCGAAGCAUGUGCUCUUGAUGGAUGUCGGUUGCGUCGGCGGAAAAAUACAGACGAAAGGUGCCACUGAAGUUUGACUCCUCGGCCAUAUCGUAGUAAAAAGUCUGAUGGACCCCAACCCACCCACCGAAGCAAACUAAGCUGAUGAGAUGCUCGAUGCAUAUCGGUCAUGUCGGCGGAAAGAUGGACGAAAAGUGCCGGUGUAGUUUGGCUGCUGUGCCCAACCGUAAAAAAAAAAAAGAAUAAUGUAGAAUAGUGAAGUCCAAUUUUUUUUAUAAAAAAAAAAUACUUUUUUUUUAUAAAAAAGAUACUUUUUGUUAAAAAAAAAAAAAAAAAAUACUAAAAUGUGAAAAAUAACUUUGGUGCCGCAGAAUAAAUUUCUAAAAAUGUCCAA